GACGAACCGUCCUAACGUUGUUCGGAAUCACUGGGCUUAAAGGGCGCGUAGGCGGAUCAUCAAGUCCGGGGUGAAAUCUUUCGGCUCAACCGGAAAAUAGCCUUGGAUACUGAUGGUCUCGAGCGAGGUAGGGGCGGGUGGAACUUCCGGUGGAGCGGUGAAAUGCGUUGAUAUCGGAAGGAACGCCGGUGGCGAAAGCGACCCGCUGGACCUCUUCUGACGCUGAGGCGCGAAAGCCAGGGGAGCAAACGGG
RNAcentral lists this ribosomal RNA (253 nucleotides) under uncultured bacterium. Its description in RNAcentral is "partial 16S ribosomal RNA". It matches the Rfam family "Bacterial small subunit ribosomal RNA", at positions 524 to 776 of the family's 1533-position model. The record is from RNAcentral.